RNAcentral lists this ribosomal RNA (431 nucleotides) under uncultured bacterium. Its description in RNAcentral is "bacterial SSU rRNA". It matches the Rfam family "Bacterial small subunit ribosomal RNA", at positions 29 to 506 of the family's 1533-position model. The record is from RNAcentral.
ACGAACGCUGGCGGCAUGCCUAACACAUGCAAGUCGAACGAGACCUUCGGGUCUAGUGGCGCACGGGUGCGUAACGCGUGGGAAUCUGCCCUUGGGUUCGGAAUAACUCAGAGAAAUUUGAGCUAAUACCGGAUGAUGACGUAAGUCCAAAGAUUUAUCGCCCAGGGAUGAGCCCGCGUAAGAUUAGCUUGUUGGUGAGGUAAUGGCUCACCAAGGCUUCGAUCGGUAGCUGGUCUGAGAGGAUGACCAGCCACACUGGGACUGAGACACGGCCCAGACUCCUACGGGAGGCAGCAGUGGGGAAUAUUGGACAAUGGGCGCAAGCCUGAUCCAGCAAUGCCGCGUGAAUGAUGAAGGCCUUAGGGUUGUAAAGUUCUUUCGCUCGUGACGAUGAUGACGGUAACGAGAAAAAAAGCCCCGGCUAACUUCGU